UCCAAAAACAAAUAGCAGAGAACAGGAACAAAGUGCGGAGACGAACAGUUUAAAACAUUUGUCUGCAUUCAUUAGCAACAGGGCAUGAUCCAGUACAUUUGGAAUUCAGAUGAUUUAGAAAGAGUUUUCAGCUCAUUUCCCAUAAUUUGAACAAUGAUAAUUGUCAACAUUGCUCAAAUAUUUACCAUUUGCCAAGCUCUAUGCUCAGUGCUUUGCAUAUAUUACUUUGUGUAAUGAGCACACCAGCCUGAUGAGGUUGGUACCAUUAUGAUCCCAUUUUACUGGAUGAGGAAAUAGAGAUGCAGAAAGAAUGGUCAAAUUGUUUGUUCAGAGUCCACAGCUAUUAGACCUGAGGCUCUUGGUACUGUAGGGCAGCAUUGUGCUGAACAAGAAAAGAGUCAAGAUAUAAUCCUACGAGCACAUGAUGAGUAGCUAUUAAUGCAAAACAACAGGCUGAAGGGGAAACCAAAGGGAAAAGGGCACAGCCACAAGACCCAAGGGGAGUGAGAGCCCGUGCCAUGCAUGUAUCAGAGAGAAGAGAGUUCCAGCAAAAGGGAAGAGCAAGGAAUGGUCCAGAGAGAAGAAGCUUCUUUCCAUUACCAAGAGAAGAACAUAUCCCAGUAGCUGCUAUGGCACCAGCCUGGACCCAGCCUAAGACACAUGGAGCAGAUCUGCCCCAGACAACACAUAAACAACUUGCAGCCUGAAGGAGAACCAGCCCAGAAGACCCAGAGACCUGUGAGUCUGACAAUAAAUGCUCACUGUUGAAUGCCACUGAGAUUCUUGUGGUGAUUUGUUAUGCAGCAUUACUAUGAGAAAAACUGACAGAUACAGCCUCCUCCCUUUGCUAUUCAACUCCAACUUAUAAAGUAGGGGGGAGAUCACAGUUAAACAUUUUUCAGGAAAUGACAGCAUCCAUUGUGUUCAUCUCUUCUAAAAUUCCAUUUCUAAUUUGGACAAAAAUGCUAUCAGUCUUUAAAUGAAGUUACGCUGUGAGGGUUUAUAGGUUAGACGUCUUUUUUUUUUUAAUGUGGAGGGCAGCAUGGUUCCUGUGGGUAUUUUGGACUAACAGAAGUUUCCUCUAUCACAUUUGUAGAAUGAAACUCAGCAAAGUGUUAAAAGCACUCAACGCCCAAACACUCCAAACAAAGUUGUUUGAGAAUUUAGUUCUAUGAUAUGUACUUAGGACUGUGCUCAGCCCUCUAAAUUAAGGGAGUGGGGAUUAAUGGUUACCUUUGACAGUGAAUUAAGGCAUAAAGAAACUGAUAAAUUGGUAUCAGAAGGAUCAGAGUAGAUACAAACCAGUACUGACUGGUGAGAAUAACCAAGGAGUUGCUAUUCUCGUGAGAUUACAGAGAGUACCCAGUGUAAGAGUCAUAUUAUGUACUUGCAGAGGAAGGUAUGACUUCCAGGUUUCUCAGUUAAACAUCUUCAUAUUUGAUAUUUUUGAGUUCAAUAAUAUGGCAAUGGGGAAAUUUCCAGGGAUUUGCUGGUUCUAAGUGCAGAAAAAGUGACCCGUAUUGUUACCUGGUCAACAGUUCACAUUAAAAAACGCCUUAACAAGAAAUAAUGUCGUCAACAGGAAAAAUGUUCUUGGCUCCCCACAGACAAAUUUCACAUGUUUUAAUCUACUGAGAACUCAGAAGAUUUGUUUCCUAUUUCCAGAAGCUCAGGAAGCAGAUCCUCUGAGCGCUCCCCCAUGUCCCCUCAGACCCCUUUGCCCCGUCCUGUUCCGGUUGUGUUUUCACUCGCAACAGCCAGCAUCUGUACUUCUUUGGAGGACGGCCUUCAUUUUUUCUCAAAAGAUAAUUGCUCAAUGUAAGGGAAAACAGUUCUAAGAAUAGACUUUACUCAGUUUAUUUUUCUCAUCAUUACAUCUCCGCCUUCUUCUCACCAGAGAUCACAAACUCCUCUCAUUCCCACAGUCAUGUCCCUUUGCACUGUGGCUUUGCAGCUCCGCCUAUCAAGAGAUGGAGUCUACUUCUCUACCCACUGAAUCUGGGCUUGACCGUAUGACUUGCUUUGGCAGAGAAGACAUCAGCACAAGUGAUGCAAGGAGAGACUUGAAAAGUACUUACUCUUUGGGGCUUACUCAUUCUUUCAGCUCUUGAAAACCCUAUGAACACAACCAGGUGAUUAAGCCCAAGCUUGCCUGCUAGAUGAUGAGCAAUACAUGGCCCAGUUACCAUACCCCCCAAAAUUCAUAUGUCGAAGUCCCAAUGCCAGUGCCUCAAAGUGUAACCAUAUUUAAAGACAAGGUCUGUAAGAGAUGAUUACAUUAAGAUGAUGCUCUUAGGGCAGGCCCUAACCCAGUGACUGGUGCUCUUAUAAGAAGAGGAAGAGACACCAAGAGUGUGUGCACACGGAAGAACCACCAUGUGAAGAGGCAGCAAGACGGUAGAAUCUUGGCAACUGCUAGUCAAGGAGAGAGGCCUCAGAGGAAACCAAACCUGCCGACAUUUUGAUCUUGGACUUCCAGCCUUCAGAACUGUGAGAAAAUAAAUUGGUUUAAGCCACCCAGUCUGUGGCAUUUUGUUAUGGCAGCCUUAGCAAAUUAAUGCAGGCUCUUAUGAGAAAAUCUACUCACGUAUUUUUCAUCUUUAAAAAGAACCCAGCCUUUGGAAAUAUUGCCAAAGUCAUUGAUUCAAUCACUACCUGCAAAUAUUAUAUGGUUUUUGGUAAUUAUUGUCUGAAAACCAUUGUAAAAUAAUUCACUGUCUUAUAAUAAUUUCCAGUGUCUCCACUCAAGGUGAGCACAACCACAUUUAGAAAAAUACAGAGUUACGGCUAGCAAUGCUUCAUUUAGGAGAAAGAAGUUAAAUAGUACACACAAAACACACAAUUCAAAAUGGGUUUUCUUUUUCCCAAACAAAAAAAUUAUUCUGUAUUAAAAAAAUGAUCAUUCCUUUGUGAUUUGGGCAUCUAAAAUAUUUUAAUGAUAAAACAGAAUAUGGCAUAUGUGAUAUAUAACAAAAAUAGGGGCUCUUCUGGCAAAGUUUAAAACAUCUACAAUUAAGUGUGUAAAAAUUACAGCAAUUUUAAGUUAUAUUUCAAUAAAAAAAAUUUAUUAAUUUAUUAUUGCUGACAUAAUGUACAGC
Non-coding RNA from Equus caballus (horse), 3098 nucleotides. The record is from RefSeq and is a predicted model, not a curated record. NCBI's taxonomy places the organism in Eukaryota, Metazoa, Chordata, Mammalia, Perissodactyla, Equidae.